UGCUCUUAAGUAUGUGUCGAUGAGUUUGG
This 29-nucleotide non-coding RNA is filed under the name Rattus norvegicus (Norway rat). Lineage: Eukaryota; Metazoa; Chordata; Mammalia; Rodentia; Muridae. The record is from RNAcentral.